UUUGAAGUUUCUUUCCUACAAAUAAAAGAACAAUUUUAGCAUUCAACAUACAAGACACUAUCUGAGCUUUCAAGCAUCAGAUUAAUUACAUCUAGUGCCAUCCCUACCAUAACAGUUACUUUGUUACGGCAACAACACAUUGUGCAAGGUUAAGUGUUUCAUUAGGUUUCGUUAACUAGACGAAGAGGAGAGCCAAUUUCCAUAGGCAAAUGCAUAAUGGAGGGAGCAAAACCAAAGACACUAUUGCUCUUGGCAACCAACACAAGAAGGCUUCACAAACCACGACCCUAUCAACAACACAUUGUGCAAGGUUAAGUGUUUCAUUAGGUUUCGUUAACUAGACGAAGAGGAGAGCCAAUUUCCAUAGGCAAAUGCAUAAUGGAGGGAGCAAAACCAAAGACACUCUUGCUCUUGGCAACCAACACAAGAAGGCUUCACAAACCACGACCCUAUCAAGCAU
This 460-nucleotide long non-coding RNA is filed under the name Setaria italica (foxtail millet). RNAcentral's name for it is "long non-coding RNA (SITA_LNC006914)". The record is from RNAcentral. Lineage: Eukaryota; Viridiplantae; Streptophyta; Magnoliopsida; Poales; Poaceae.